CUCACUGCUACCCAGAGACCUCUGCCCUCUCCUUAAGCCUUUGGUACCCAGGAGGAGGAAAUGUUUGAGCUUUCUACUGUGCUGUUUGCUUCUAUAGGUGCUGCUGACUUCUAGACCUCACCCUGGCAGUCCCUGCUGGUGCGGAUUUGAAGCCUGGGACACACAGUGGGGUGCUGUCUUUUCCGUGAACAUGCCUGCCCAGAAGUGCUCUUGCUCCUCGCUACAUCAUCCCAUGGUACAAGGAAGGCCACUGAGGCAUAGAAGGCACAGGUUUUCUGAUGGCAGCCUCCUGAAUGUGCUCCCGUAGAGAGAAUGCCAGCAUUAGCCGCUAGGAUCUUCUCUUCCUGUGUGUACACUGCCGGGUUCUCAGGAAGGCAGCUCACCAGAACCACAAGGGCCCUCUUCUCUGGAGCAGGGCCCAGGCCCAAUCAUUCUUGGAGUGGUCGGCUGUUCUGAGGGCCCCUAAUUCCAUCAUUGCUCUCAAAACAGCAAUCAUCAGAAAGGUAGCUGAAAGCUGUCUUGCCACCAAGCUGAGUUAGAAUUUGAAGGGAAGGAGCAGGGGACUUAGUGUCAUCCAGCCCCCAUCUUUAAAUCAAAACCCUUGCCAUGUCCAUUCCUACUGCCUAGAAACAAGGUCUGUCCUCACCAAGGUUCUUCCAUGCAAGACAGAUGUGGAGGUUUUGCAGGUGAUACUGUGAGGCUCAGUCAUUUGUUCAGAGGUCCCAGCUGGUAGGAGACCAUAGGAGACUAGGCGGUGGGGGAUUUGGGUUCUCUUCCAACUCCGCCCAAUGCCUGAGAUCACCUUGGUCAAAUCCUGCCUAUCCACCCUAUGCCUUCUUCCCACACAGUAUGAUGGUGUAAAGAUGGGUUUCACCAGAUCCCUAACAGCAUGUUUGCCCUAAAUGAGGAUCUGAUAAUAAAUUCCCCAUUUUGAGCUUCCUGGCUUGGCUGAAUAGUCAAAGUAUGAUUGAUAGCGGCAUCCCGUGGACACCAAGGGUAACUGCAUCAAUUUGGACGGAAGCCACAAGAUGACAUCCUGCUUCCCUCAUUAUGUGGAAAGGAGCUGAUUGCAAUUAAUCACACUCAUCGUCUUACACAGGGAGCUGUCUUCGAGCUGGAAAAGCCCCCAAAUCAGAAGGCAAGCCUUCCAGCUAUAUUCCCCUGCCGUCAACCUCUAGCUAUACAACCGUUUUGUUUAAAUUUGUCCCUUUUCAAAUACUGGCCUAAUAAAAGAGACUAGUGCAGUGAUGGCAAACCUUUUAGGGACCGAGUGCCCAAACUGCAACCCAAACCCAAGCCCCCAAUUAUUUAUCACUAAGUGGCAACCAUGCAGUUAAACCUGAAUGCUGAGGGUUUAGUUUAAAAAAAAAAAGCAACUUUUAUCUGACGCUUGUUUGCUGAGGCACCUUGGCCCACUGCAGCAUGUAUGCCACAGGUUUGCCACCACUGCUUAGUUUAACUGAAGGAGAGUAAUGUUGAUAAUGCUCGUAACAGAAAAAGUUGAAUGGGUUGUUAAGUCUUGCCAGGAGUGUCACAUGUAUUAUUUCAUUUCAUUUUCCCCCAAACUGAAGAGGACUGGGACUCUUAUCCCCAAUUUUCAAAUGAGGAAUCUAAGACAUUGUCCAUAAAGGGAGCUGAUUUCAAACCUGGACAAUAGGCAUCAGAUCCCAUUUUCCUCAAUUACCCCUUUAUGCCAUCUCACUGCUUUCAGUGUCUACCUACUGCACCCCAAGCCAUUGGUGAGCCCAACAAACUGAAGAAAACCCCACUUCCUAAGGCACUGGCUUGAAUUCCACAUGUCUGAGUCACUCUCUUUGGCAGUGAGUGGACUCAUGGGAGGGGCCUUAGAGUGAGCCAGCACUAGCUCUCAUGUGACCUGAGGCUCAUUCCUGAACUUUACUUGCAUGGGCUACCAAGAGUGAGUCAUGAGCUCUUCUCUUGAGAUGAUGUUGCAAAGAUCACUUAAAUCACUUGCUGCUGGGUAGAAGCUCAAAAAAUCAUUUUUAUGCUUAUCUAUGAGCUGUGUGAUUUGACCUUGGAAAGGGCCAACUUGGUAGGCAGUGGAUUCUGAUCCAAUCUCUUUAGAAAGCACCGCUUAGAAAGUCAAGGAUUUGGACAGCAGUGAGGACCAGCCUUUUCACCUGAGGCUUGUGAGUUUCCAAGGAAACCACUGAUGAAUCCUGUUUCAAAGAAUCUCCAAAAUCAAGACGCCAAAGCAAAGACAAGAUCUCAGUACUCUGAGUUUUUCAAAAACACUAUUAACUAAAGAACAGUGUCCCUUCAGGUUUCAAGACCAUAUGGCCAACAGUCUGCAGAGACUCAAGACAGCACGAGCCCACUUCAGGAAGCACAAGUUCAAGACCAGAGCUGGUAUGUCUGAAUCCUAGUUCCAGCUCUGCCUCCCAUUGUUCAGUAUCUUUUUUUUUUUUUUUCUUAUCAGUACCGGGAAUCGAACUCAUGACUGCCUGCUUGCAAGGCAGGUGCUUAUGCUACGGAGCUAAACCUCCAGCCCCUGCCUCCCAUUGUUCAUGCACAACUGUGAAGUUGGUUCUCUUCUUGGAGGUCACACAGCUGAAGCAUCUGACAUGUGGAAGAUAUGGCCAUUGGUGAAUGAAUAAGGUCAACAUCUCACUACAAUGGCUGGAAGCCCAUUGCUGGAAACGUCCCCACAGAGAAUAAUACUGGGCCCCUAAGCAUUCCAAAUAUUGCUGUUGGUCAGGACCUGGAGGUGGCUCACCUGGGUGUUCUACCUCAUAUCUUUCAUGCUGACCUCAAGCAGUUAUGAUGUCAGUUGGAGUUACAGUCACUGGAGAGUUUGGCUGGGACUGGAGGAUCUGCUUCCAAAGUGACUGAUGCAUGUGCCUUGGGAGCUGGUACCGACUGGAGGUCCUAGUCCCUUCCCCUGGGGACCUCUCCAUAGGUCUGCUUGAGUGGCCUCAUGACAUGGCAGCUGGCAUCUUCCAGAAUGAGUGAGUUGAAAGAGAGCAAGGAGGAAACCAUAAUGUCUCUUAUGAUGAUAUUGUAUUCCUAAGGCUGCAGGACUAAGGAUCACAAAAAAGGUGACCUAAAAAACAGUAGGAAUUUACUCUUAGUUCUCAAGGCAGGUUUGAAAUCAAGUUGUUUGCAAAGCUCUAGAGAAGAACCUUCCUCGCCUCUCUUAGCUUCUGGUGGCCUUGACGUUCCUUGACUUGUGGCUGCACAACUCCUUCCUCUGCCUCCCUUCGCAUGUAAGCUAUGCCUAUCUGCUCUGUGUCUCUCUGUCCUUAUAAGGACUCUUGUCAUUUGCUGUGGGGCCCACUCUAGUGAAAUAUGACCCUGAGUUUAUCUGCAAAGACUACUUCUAAAUAAAGUCACAUUCCCAGAGCUUUUUAGUAUGUCUCUUUGAGGACACUAUUCGUGAUCCACCAGGAUGAUCUAGCCUGAGAAAUUGCAUGUCAUUUCUGCAAGAAGUACCUACAGGGACACAUGGCUGUGCAUCCCAGCAGGGGGUAAUUAUUGGGGUCAUUGUGCAAGCAGGCUAGCAUAACACAUGUCACAGUGAGUGUGAGACAGGCACCACACAGUACCCAUAGAGGAAACAAUGGAGGACUAGCAGCGUUAGGACCCUCAGCCUGUCCAGAGUACAAAAGGAUUCCAAGGUGGAGAAAAGGGAAGGUUUGGAAUCAGAAAUCUAUGCUGGAGCACCAACCCUAAUAGUGCUGGGGUCCUACCACCUUCACCCAGUGAUGGUGGCUUCCACGGAGAUGUUGUGAGCUGUGGUGC
Cavia porcellus (domestic guinea pig) is the source of this 3762-nucleotide long non-coding RNA. RefSeq lists it as uncharacterized. Lineage: Eukaryota; Metazoa; Chordata; Mammalia; Rodentia; Caviidae. The transcript has 3 exons. The record is from RefSeq and is a predicted model, not a curated record.